GCCCAGACUCCUACGGGAGGCAGCAGUGAGGAAUAUUGGUCAAUGGCCGCAGGGCUGAACCAGCCAAGUCGCGUGAGGGAUGACGGUCCUAUGGAUUGUAAACCUCUUUUGUCAGGGAGCAAAGGGCGCCACGUGUCGCGUUUUGCGAGUACCUGAAGAAAAAGCAUCGGCUAACUCCGUGCCAGCAGCCGCGGUAAUACGGAGGAUGCGAGCGUUAUCCGGAUUUAUUGGGUUUAAAGGGUGCGCAGGCGGAAUGUCAAGUCAGGGGUAAAAUGUCGGGGCUCAACCCCGUCGUGCCGUUGAAACUGGCGUUCUUGAGUGGGCGAGGAGUGUGCGGAAUGCGUGGUGGAGCGGUGAAAUGCAGAGAUA
Molecule: ribosomal RNA, 369 nt
Filed under: uncultured bacterium
Lineage: Bacteria
Description: bacterial SSU rRNA
Rfam family: Bacterial small subunit ribosomal RNA
Source: RNAcentral